Long non-coding RNA from Oncorhynchus tshawytscha (Chinook salmon), 707 nucleotides. The record is from Ensembl. NCBI's taxonomy places the organism in Eukaryota, Metazoa, Chordata, Actinopteri, Salmoniformes, Salmonidae.
GAAACACUGACUUUAGCCCAUUCCUGUCAUGGGCCAUAGACCGGUGCCCCGCGGCAAAUUAUAUUAGAAUCCGCCCACUUUGUAGGUUACUUAUGUCAGGUAAAGGUGUGGACCUACGUCAGGUCCAUUUGUGUGCCAAUAUGAAUGCAGCUCCUACAAUGUAGGAUUCGCUGCAUACAUUUAGGGAAUUUCACAGCCACAAUGCAUUGGAAGAAUGGGGCUGCAAGUUUUAAUAGCUAGAUCUCUUCAAGUAAACAACAAAACAACUUGGAAGAUUGCGAAUACCGAAGCCUCUGCGGUGGUUCUCAAAUGAGGUGGAGGGGCAGCUAUCACCUGCAUGGGUGAAAAAGGAGUGGGAGGACCUGAAGCAAAAUACUUACACUUAUUGCUGUGCUUGGCUAAUAAAGUUCCCCUUUUCUCUGAAGCAACAACACUUUCCCAUCUAUUUCCUAUGCUUCACUGGCACAUUCAUGUGUUGAAAGCUCCCCCCACCGGAGUCAGCACGGAGGGAGGGGAGGCCACAGCCACAUCCUGGAAGUGGUAUGUGGGGAUGGGUGAGGCGCUGCAGGGGCUCUCACUCUAUCACCCCACCAGUCAUCAUCUCUUCUGUUCUUCUGUUUUUGGUGAAGUCCUUUAAACUCAAAGUGGAUUUCUGUUUUCUCAUUGAAAAGUGUUUGUUUGUAAUAAAAUAAAAAAAUUGAUACCAG